This is a long non-coding RNA of Apis florea (little honeybee), 156 nucleotides long. The record is from RefSeq and is a predicted model, not a curated record. Lineage: Eukaryota; Metazoa; Arthropoda; Insecta; Hymenoptera; Apidae.
UUUAAUAUCUUGAGAUUUAUUAGUUAUAUAAAUAUAUAUACAUAUAUAUAUAUAUAUAUUUGUACUUUGCAACAGAGAUCAUUAAAGAAUGCAUGCAUGUGAAACAUACGCUGUAAUAUAAAAAAAAAAGAAAUGUACAAUUUCCUCUUGAGAGCC